RNAcentral lists this ribosomal RNA (460 nucleotides) under uncultured bacterium. RNAcentral's name for it is "partial 16S ribosomal RNA". It matches the Rfam family "Bacterial small subunit ribosomal RNA", at positions 338 to 795 of the family's 1533-position model. The record is from RNAcentral.
CCUACGGGUGGCAGCAGUGAGGAAUAUUGGUCAAUGGUCGUAAGCCUGAACCAGCCAAGUCGCGUGAGGGAUGAAGGUUCUAUGGAUCGUAAACCUCUUUUAUCAGGGAAUAAAGUGUGGGACGUGUCCUAUUUUGAAUGUACCUUAUGAAUAAGGAUCGGCUAACUCCGUGCCAGCAGCCGCGGUAAUACGGAGGAUCCGAGCGUUAUCCGGUUUUAUUGGGUUUAAAGGGUGCGUAGGCGGCCUUUUAAGUAAGCGGUGAAAGUCUGUGGCUCAACCAUAGAAUUGCCGUUGAAACUGGGGGGCUUGAGUAUGUUUGAGGCAGGCGGAAUGCGUGGUGUAGCGGUGAAAUGCUUAGAUAUCGCGCAGAACCCCGAUUGCGAAGGCAGCCUGCCAGGCCAAGACUGACGCUGAGGCACGAAAGCGUGGGGAUCAAACAGGAUUAGAUACCCGAGUAGUC